Onychostoma macrolepis is the source of this 351-nucleotide long non-coding RNA. RefSeq lists it as uncharacterized. The record is from RefSeq and is a predicted model, not a curated record. NCBI's taxonomy places the organism in Eukaryota, Metazoa, Chordata, Actinopteri, Cypriniformes, Cyprinidae. The transcript is spliced from 3 exons.
GCCACACACAUGGUUUUCCUAAGCUGUAAAUUUUAUGGAUAAUUUCUGAUGUGGUUAGAGAUUUAUACCCCCCAACUAAGACCAGCAUCUGCAGGCAACUGCAAUGAAGCAUCAAGAAAGACAUGAGCAGGCCAGCCACCCUGAGACUGAUAAUUCAUGAGAAGACAUUUCUGUUAAAGUGGAUAGUGAGCAAAAAUGGUGGCCACGUUUUGAAGCAGCACCUGGGUUUUGCAGAUGGCUAUGUAUUCUUUGGCUGUUUGUCUUUUCCCCAUAAUGUUUCUGUUGCCUAAAGAUUCUUUGUGAGGAUGAAUCCAGAGGACACAACAUAAUGCACUGCAAAACGUCCUAAGA